MicroRNA precursor from Lupinus angustifolius (narrow-leaved blue lupine), 135 nucleotides. It matches the Rfam family "mir-166 microRNA precursor family". From Rfam's summary of the family: This family represents the plant microRNA (miRNA) precursor mir-166. Animal miRNAs are transcribed as ~70nt precursors and subsequently processed by the Dicer enzyme to give a ~22nt product. In plants the precursor sequences may be longer, and the carpel factory (caf) enzyme appears to be involved in processing. The record is from Rfam. Lineage: Eukaryota; Viridiplantae; Streptophyta; Magnoliopsida; Fabales; Fabaceae.
CUUGUGGGGAAUGCUGUCCGGUUCAAGGACAUAACACUAUCUUUACAACCUAUGAUAUAUAUAAUUUGCGGAUUGUAUAAUCGAUUUUGUGUUAUGACUUAGUGUUUCCUCGGACCAGGCUUCAUUCCUCUCAAU